This 279-nucleotide ribosomal RNA is filed under the name uncultured bacterium. RNAcentral's name for it is "partial 16S ribosomal RNA". It matches the Rfam family "Bacterial small subunit ribosomal RNA", at positions 506 to 784 of the family's 1533-position model. The record is from RNAcentral.
UGCCAGCCGCCGCGGUAAUACGAAGGGGCUAGCGUUGUUCGGAAUCACUGGGCGUAAAGCGCACGUAGGCGGAUUGUUAAGUCAGGGGUGAAAUCCCGAGGCUCAACCUCGGAACUGCCUUUGAUACUGGCAAUCUUUGAGUCCGGGAGAGGUGAGUGGAAUUCCGAGUGUAGAGGUGAAAUUCGUAGAUAUUCGGAAGAACACCAGUGGCGAAGGCGGCUCACUGGCCCGGUACUGACGCCGAGGUGCGAAAGCCAGGGUAGCGAACGGGAUUAGAUA